CUUCAUUGUAGGAUGGAUCCGAAUGAGAAAUUAAUCUCUGAUUUCUUCACCAAAUGUUUGGUAAGCCAUAUGAGAACAGGAGCUGGCUGCAGCAUACCAUGAAUCCUCACAGCAACUUAAUGAGUUCCUGCGGCAGCCCUCCUCAAGGACAUCUGUGAGACAGUCAGAAAUGACUUCCCUGGAGACCAAGAGAGCCCACAGGGCUCUUCCCGCUGCUUCUUCUACCCUUGUAUUCACUCGGCUCUCUAAAUUUGUCUCAGCUCCAGAUGUGGAAAUACCUGCUUAAUAAUAGUCAUGUCAUUAGCCCACAAAACAGCCCUGAACAUUUAUUGGAAAAACAAAGUAGAGUCAGCUCAUCCCCAUCUUGAGAUGCUGAGCAUCCAGUUGAACCCAGAAGAGAUUUUACAACCAACUGAUA
This is a long non-coding RNA of Symphalangus syndactylus (siamang), 418 nucleotides long. RefSeq lists it as uncharacterized. NCBI's taxonomy places the organism in Eukaryota, Metazoa, Chordata, Mammalia, Primates, Hylobatidae. The record is from RefSeq and is a predicted model, not a curated record.